RNAcentral lists this ribosomal RNA (468 nucleotides) under uncultured bacterium. Its description in RNAcentral is "partial 16S ribosomal RNA". It matches the Rfam family "Bacterial small subunit ribosomal RNA", at positions 28 to 507 of the family's 1533-position model. The record is from RNAcentral.
GACGAACGCUGGCGGCGUGCUUAACACAUGCAAGUCGAACGGAAAGGCCCUGCUUUUGUGGGGUGCUCGAGUGGCGCACGGGUGAGUAACACGUGAGUAACCUGCACUUGACUUUGGGGUAACUUCAGGAAACUGGGGCUAAUACCGGAUAGGAGCUCCUGCUGCAUGGUGGGGGUUGGUAAGUUUCGGCGGUUGGGGAUGGACUGGCGGCUUAUCAGCUUGUUGGUGGGGUAGUGGCUGACCAAGGUUUUGACGGGUAGCCGGCCUGGGAGGGUGACCGGCCACAUUGGGACUGAGAUACGGCCCAGACUCCUACGGGAGGCAGCAGUGGGGAAUAUUGCACAAUGGGCGGAAGCCUGAUGCAGCAACGCCGCGUGCGGGAUGACGGCCUUCGGGGUGUAAACCGCUUUCGCCUGUGACGAAGCGUGAGUGACGGUAAUGGGUAAAGAAGCACCGGCUAACUACGUG